This is a non-coding RNA of Triticum urartu, 115 nucleotides long. NCBI's taxonomy places the organism in Eukaryota, Viridiplantae, Streptophyta, Magnoliopsida, Poales, Poaceae. The record is from Rfam.
GACCUACUUCGUCCGUUCUGAAUUACUCGCCGCAGAGAUGGAUGUAUCUAGAUGUAUUUUAGUUCUAAAUACAUCCCUUUUUACGAAGAGUAAUUUGGAACGGAGGGAGUAGCUU